CCUACGGGGGGCAGCAGUGGGGAAUAUUGGGCAAUGGAGGAAACUCUGACCCAGCAACGCCGCGUGAAUGAUGAAGGUCUUCGGAUUGUAAAGUUCUUUUUUAAGGGAAGAAGAAAGUGACGGUACCUUCGGAUUAAGCCUCGGCUAACCACGGGCAAGCAGCCGCGGUAAUACGUAGGAGGCAAGCGUUAUCCGGAAGGACGGGGCGUAAGGGGGGGGGAGGUGGUUGGACAAGUUGGUGGCGUAACUCCGGGGCUCAACCUCGGCACUGAAACCAAAACUGUCGGACUUGAGUGUAGGGGAGGCAAGUGGAAUUCCUAGUGUAGCGGUGGAAUGCGUAGAUAUUAGGAGGAACACCAGUGGCGAAGGCGAUUUGCUGGACUGUAACUGACACUGAGGCACGAAAGCGUGGGGAGCAAACAGGAUUAGAUACCCCUGUAGUC
RNAcentral lists this ribosomal RNA (443 nucleotides) under uncultured bacterium. Its description in RNAcentral is "partial 16S ribosomal RNA". It matches the Rfam family "Bacterial small subunit ribosomal RNA", at positions 338 to 795 of the family's 1533-position model. The record is from RNAcentral.